Molecule: ribosomal RNA, 425 nt
Filed under: Streptococcus mitis
Lineage: Bacteria; Bacillati; Bacillota; Bacilli; Lactobacillales; Streptococcaceae
Description: bacterial SSU rRNA
Rfam family: Bacterial small subunit ribosomal RNA
Source: RNAcentral
GACGAACGCUGGCGGCGUGCCUAAUACAUGCAAGUAGAACGCUGAAGGAGGAGCUUGCUUCUUCGGAUGAGUUGCGAACGGGUGAGUAACGCGUAGGUAACCUGCCUGGUAGCGGGGGAUAACUAUUGGAAACGAUAGCUAAUACCGCAUAAGAGUAGAUGUCGCAUGACAUUUGCUUAAAAGGUGCAAUUGCAUCACUACCAGAUGGACCUGCGUUGUAUUAGCUAGUUGGUGGGGUAAAGGCUCACCAAGGCGACGAUACAUAGCCGACCUGAGAGGGUGAACGGCCACACUGGGACUGAGACACGGCCCAGACUCCUACGGGAGGCAGCAGUAGGGAAUCUUCGGCAAUGGACGGAAGUCUGACCGAGCAACGCCGCGUGAGUGAAGAAGGUUUUCGGAUCGUAAAGCUCUGUUGUAAGAGA